Thunnus maccoyii (southern bluefin tuna) is the source of this 557-nucleotide non-coding RNA. Lineage: Eukaryota; Metazoa; Chordata; Actinopteri; Scombriformes; Scombridae. The record is from the annotation of a RefSeq genome assembly.
AGAGCACACCUGCAUCUAACUGCAGCCUGUAGCAGGAAAUCACUGAUAUCAGCAUUAAAGCCGCCUCUUCCUGUAUUAACCAACACAAAAGUAGACUGUAUAAAUCCACUGAUGAAAAGAUGUGACGUCCAUUAUGUCGACUCCUCCUCCUCCUUUACAUCCAGACAGCUCUGUUCAGUUUGCACUUGACAUUAUUUUUUUCUUUUCAUCUGCAUUUGGAUCAUGAUCAGGCUCCUCAUACAUUUAGUAGCUCUGCCGUUCUGUUUAACAGAACUCUCAAAGAACAGUGUUGAUCAGACUCCAGCAGCCAUGAUCAAAGAUCUUGGUGAAGAAAUCCUGAUAAACUGCAGCCAUUCAAACACUAAUUUUAAUAUGAUCCAGUGGUACAAACAGUCUGCUGGGAAAAGUGAUAUGGCUCUUGUUGGUUAUGUACGAUACUCUUCUCCAGCUGUUGAAGAUAAAUUUAAAGAGACUCAUAAUGGGGACCUCGAGCACCACAAACACUCCCAGUUACACUUUGAUUCAUCACGUGGAUUACACAGCAGCUAACAGCAUCA